CCCCUUGUGGUGUAGUUGGCUAUCACGUUCGGUGAGCAUCCUAACAUGUUUCAGGUCGCUGGCUCGAUUCCGGCCGAGGGGA
Molecule: transfer RNA, 82 nt
Filed under: Cladophialophora immunda
Lineage: Eukaryota; Fungi; Ascomycota; Eurotiomycetes; Chaetothyriales; Herpotrichiellaceae
Description: tRNA-Ala (AGC) (tRNA-Ala-AGC-2-1)
Source: RNAcentral